This 272-nucleotide ribosomal RNA is filed under the name uncultured bacterium. RNAcentral describes it as "partial 16S ribosomal RNA". The record is from RNAcentral.
CUGCUGCCUUCCGUAGGAGUUUGGUCCGUGUCUCAGUACCAAUGUGGGGGGGUUAACCUCUCAGUCCCCCUAUGUAUCGUUGUCUUGGUGAGCCGUUACCCCACCAACUAACUAAUACAACGCAUGCCCAUCCAUUACCACCGGAGUUUUCAACCCAAGAAGAUGCCUCCCUGGAUGUUAUGGGGUAUUAGUACCGAUUUCUCAGUGUUAUCCCCCUGUAAUGGGUAGGUUGCAUACGCGUUACGCACCCGUGCGCCGGUCGCCGACAUAGA